UUCGCCGGAUGGAUAGUCGCUCGCGCAAGCGGGAGGAAAGUCCGGUCUCCACAGGGCAGCGCGCCGGCUAACGGCCGGGGGGAUCCGUUGGAAAGCGGGUUCUACGGAAAGUGCCACAGAAAAUAUACCGCCUCCGGCGCAAGCCUUGGGGUAAGGGUGAAAAGGUGCGGUAAGAGCGCACCGCGGCUCGAGCAAUCGGGACGGCAGGGAAAACCCCGCGCGGAGCAAGACCAAAUAGGGGAGGAGGAGCGGCUCGCUCCGUCUGACUUCCGGGUAGGUUGCUAGAGCCGGCCAGCGAUGGCCGGUCGAGAUGAAUGACUAUCGCCCGCAAGGGUACAGAAACCGGCUUAUAGUCGCGGCGAACUGC
RNAcentral lists this RNase P RNA (367 nucleotides) under Bryobacterales bacterium. RNAcentral's name for it is "RNase P RNA component class A". It matches the Rfam family "Bacterial RNase P class A". Rfam says of the family: Ribonuclease P (RNase P) is a ubiquitous endoribonuclease, found in archaea, bacteria and eukarya as well as chloroplasts and mitochondria. Its best characterised activity is the generation of mature 5'-ends of tRNAs by cleaving the 5'-leader elements of precursor-tRNAs. Lineage: Bacteria; Pseudomonadati; Acidobacteriota; Terriglobia; Bryobacterales. The record is from RNAcentral.